UGGGUUGUAGCAGUUGGUCCACCUAAUCAA
This 30-nucleotide non-coding RNA is filed under the name Homo sapiens (human). Lineage: Eukaryota; Metazoa; Chordata; Mammalia; Primates; Hominidae. The record is from RNAcentral.